This 174-nucleotide ribosomal RNA is filed under the name uncultured bacterium. RNAcentral describes it as "partial 16S ribosomal RNA". It matches the Rfam family "Bacterial small subunit ribosomal RNA", at positions 336 to 525 of the family's 1533-position model. The record is from RNAcentral.
CUCCUACGGGAGGCAGCAGUGGGGAAUAUUGCACAAUGGGCGCAAGCCUGAUGCAGCAACGCCACGUGAAGGAAGAAGGUCUUCGGAUCGUAAACUUCUGUCCUUGGGGAAGAAGAAGUGACGGUACCCAUGGAGGAAGCCCCGGCUAACUACGUGCCAGCAGCCGCGGUAAUA